UACAGAGGUCUCAAGCGUUGUUCGGAUUCAUUGGGCGUAAAGGGUGCGUAGGUGGCGGGGUAAGUCAGGUGUGAAAUUUCGGAGCUUAACUCCGAAACUGCAUUUGAUACUGCCUUGCUUGAGGACUGGAGAGGAGACUGGAAUUUACGGUGUAGCAGUGAAAUGCGUAGAUAUCGUAAGGAAGACCAGUGGCGAAGGCGGGUCUCUGGACAGUUCCUGACACUGAGGCACGAAGGCUAGGGGAGCAAACGGG
Molecule: ribosomal RNA, 253 nt
Filed under: uncultured bacterium
Lineage: Bacteria
Description: partial 16S ribosomal RNA
Rfam family: Bacterial small subunit ribosomal RNA
Source: RNAcentral